This 509-nucleotide ribosomal RNA is filed under the name uncultured bacterium. RNAcentral's name for it is "bacterial SSU rRNA". It matches the Rfam family "Bacterial small subunit ribosomal RNA", at positions 108 to 649 of the family's 1533-position model. The record is from RNAcentral.
GAGUAACACGUGACUAACCUACCUUUGAGUGGGGAAUAACCUCGGGAAACCGGGGCUAAUACCGCAUAACACCGAGAGGUCAAAGGAGCAAUCCGCUUGAAGAGGGGGUCGCGGCUGAUUAGCUAGUUGGUAGGGUAAUGGCCUACCAAGGCAGUGAUCAGUAUCCGGCCUGAGAGGGCGCACGGACACACUGGAACUGAAACACGGUCCAGACUCCUACGGGAGGCAGCAGUGGGGAAUUUUGCACAAUGGGGGAAACCCUGAUGCAGCAACGCCGCGUGGAGGAUGAAGCCCCUUGGGGCGUAAACUCCUUUCGAUCGGGACGAUUAUGACGGUACCGGAAGAAGAAGCACCGGCUAACUCUGUGCCAGCAGCCGCGGUAAUACAGAGGGUGCAAGCGUUGUUCGGAAUUAUUGGGCGUAAAGGGCGCGUAGGCGGUGCGGUAAGUCAGCUGUGAAAUCUCCGGGCUCAACUCGGAGCCUGCAGUUGAAACUGCUGUGCUUGAGUAU